This 1510-nucleotide long non-coding RNA is filed under the name Gallus gallus (chicken). RNAcentral describes it as "lncRNA (ENSGALG00010007256.1)". Lineage: Eukaryota; Metazoa; Chordata; Aves; Galliformes; Phasianidae. The record is from RNAcentral.
CACCGGCUGAAAUGGGAGAAAUUGUUCUACAUGACAGAUAACGAGAUGAGGAAUCCUUGGCAAGCACGUGUAAAACACUUCACAGCAGGUGGCAACAUGAGCAGAUAGAGGUACAAGCACACAGGAAACACAAGUAUCUGCUGCUCGUCCUUCCUGCUUCCCUGCCCCAGUGCUCGCUGUGAGAAAGUGGCAGGUAAGAAAGAUUAGCUCACUCUGUGCGUUUGUGGGAUGAAUGCCUGACAGAAAUUAAUACAGUGAGUUUAACAUCUUUCUUUUUUAAAGUUUUGAACGAUUUCCACUCCUGCAAAAGGUAGGUUCCACCACAUUGCUUUUAUGUCUCCCUGUCCACACCUUAUAUCAUCUAGAAGAGCACACCAUCCCAUGCUAGCUUUAAAGAUUAAAAUGACCAUGGCCACCCUUCAGGAUGGUAUCAACUUUUUGUUGAUGCAGAGGCAAAUGCCAGUAAUGUGAAAGGCUUCCAGUAACAGACUGUGGGAAAGAAACUGAUGCUUUGUGAGUUCUGUGGGGCUUUGGGAUCUGGGCACUCUCUUCCAUUGCAUGCUGCAGACAUGUCUUCAGUCCCAGCUAGCAGAAAUCCAACCGGAGAUGCAGCAGCUGGGAGCUUCUGGAUCAGGUUAAAGGCUGUAAGAAGUGUAUGGUUUGCUUGACCUCUUAAUUAAUAUGAAAGUUACAGAAAGCCUCAUGGUUAGUAGGGUUUUGCUAACACAGAUGAGGAAUGGCUUUGUUUUGUUCCUGGUAGAGACAGAGCCCAAGAGGUUUUUUUGCAAUCAGCAUCAAUUGGUUCCACAGCAGCAGAGAGAAUAUUUCCUGCAGAAAGGUCAAGGGCCAUUUGCAGCUUUCCAAGUCAAAAACAAUCCUUAAAACUCCAUCUAAAAACCACCUAGCAGCUGUGUAGAGCCCCGUGACUACCCUGGGUUGUAGCAGGUAUGAGAAACAGAACUAGAAACAAAAUCCUGCUCAGGAGAGCAUAUGGGUUUGUUGCUGAUGAAGAAACCAGAAGCCCAGUGCUUGACCUCAGGUUGGUUUUGGCUCAGAGAAAUUCCACUGCCAUUAAGACACCAAGUGUGCAAGUAGAAGAGCAUGACUGCACCCAGACACGCACAUCAUCACAGACUUUUAGGACGUGGCAUUUCAGAAAUAAACAGGGUAAUGAGCCAGGUUGUGUAUUUUGUGAGAGCCUGUCCUCUCAACAGUGAACAUUAUAAAAGACUUUAGGAAACAACCUCUGGCUCUGCUUUCCCUCUUGUUCUCCAUCAGGAGCAGCUUGUGAGGUAUGGAGAUGACACAUGAGAUGCCUGUGAGGUGGUUGGGAAGAAGGCAGCUUGGACCAGCCUAGAGGAAGGAUUUUAUCUUGAUGUGUGUGCGUGGAGCUGUAGGGAGGGCGGACAGACUGUGAGAAGGGGAUACAAUCCCCUAGGUGCUGUUACCCUGAGACAACAUCCCACCAGCAUAUAACACAAAUUUAGUAACAGAGGGGAGCUAAGUAAAC